CGUAGGGUGCGAGCGUUAAUCGGAAUUACUGGGCGUAAAGCGUGCGCAGGCGGUUUUGUAAGACAGAUGUGAAAUCCCCGGGCUCAACCUGGGACCUGCAUUUGUGACUGCAAGGCUAGAGUACGGUAGAGGGGGAUGGAAUUCCGCGUGUAGCAGUGAAAUGCGUAGAUAUGCGGAGGAACACCGAUGGCGAAGGCAAUCCCCUGGACCUGUACUGACGCUCAUGCACGAAAGCGUGGGGAGCAAACAGGAUUAGAUACCCUGGUAGUCCACGCCCCAAACGAUGUCAACUGGUUGUUGGGUCUUUACUGACUCAGUAACGAAGCUAACGCGUGAAGUUGACCGCCUGGGGAGUACGGCCGCAAGGUUG
RNAcentral lists this ribosomal RNA (370 nucleotides) under uncultured organism. RNAcentral's name for it is "bacterial SSU rRNA". It matches the Rfam family "Bacterial small subunit ribosomal RNA", at positions 526 to 896 of the family's 1533-position model. The record is from RNAcentral.